UGAUCAGAGAGAAAAAUUGAGACUGAUUUUGAGAGAAAAAAAUUUCAGAACUUAAGAGUAAAAGGAAGGUCUUUUCUUUACCGCUGAAUAUCAGAAUUAGUACUGUUACUACUUCAUUGGUUAUUGCUGGAUUUUCUGCUUGAUUUUUAAAUCUAUUCCUAGGUCUUCCUGCACUGUUUGUUACUGGUUUACUGCUUUUGUUGCUGAACCUUUUGUUGCUGUGUUGUACUACUACUGCACUACCGACUUCUUCCUCUUCUUUGCUUUCCAAAUACCAGGUAUACGACUCAAACACUGGCUAUUGUAAGCUCAAAAUGUAGAAGCAUGAAUACAUAUAAAAAUGGAAGUUUGAAGAUAUGAUUUAACUGUUCUUCUUUACAUGAUUUUAUUUAGAACAUUUCUUAUACUACUGUUAUGUAGAUUUCUGCCAGCUUUGUAUAGCUGGACUGUAUUCAGUUUGAUUUGGAUUAAUUGAAGUUAUAAUUAUAAUGAACUAUUAGGAUGUAGUUACCAGAUGUAGUAAUAUUCUCUUGUAGAAUAAAGCACGAAACAAUUCUCCAUUUUUACGAGCUAGAGUGCAAUUUUCGUUCGCAUUAAUCUAAUAACUAAUAAGAGGCCCGAACUUGCCAAGAAUGUGAAUUAAUUAGGAUUUUUUCUUAUAUUUUAUUUUAGAGACAAACAAAAAAUAGAAAUAUAGUCACUUUAGGAUUAUUCUUUUAAAAUAAACGAGAUGAGCCUCGCCAAAUAAAAACGCAUAGGCUGCGGGGCCCUCAAUAAUUGGAUAUAAUAAUUGUUUAGAUUUCGGGAUGAGUCGUUUAGUGAAUUUCACGACCUUCCCCAAAAUAACAACGCUCUAGACUCUUUAGGCGCGUAUUUUAAAUAUUACCUCCCUAAACUCGAGUGUAUAUUGAUGUGACCCAAAUUCAAAUCGCAGCGAAGUCAAAACAUGUCGACAACCACGCGUACACUGGUUGUGACGUAGUUCGAGAUACGUUUUUGCGACGUUGUAAUUCUCUACUUAUAGUAAUUAUAAUAAUAAUAAUAAUAAUAAUAAUCAUAAUAAUUGAAGCGCUUAAAAGUUAAAAUUUGCACAUAAGUUCAUAAUUGUUUAAAAAUCAAAUGAAUAAGCCGAAUAUAAAAGUUGAGCGACCAUGCGAGAACCACUGAACUCGAAAAUGCCUAACACCUUCUCCCGGGUUAACAUAAUCCUUAUCUGGAUUUUUGGUUCGCGGACUGUUAAAGAGAGUCAAUUUUUUCCUUGAUUCGGGAUUCAACUGGUGACUUGGGACACCAUAAAUCUCUCAAGUGGCGACUCUGAAUUAAAUAAACAAAUCCCUUUUUGAUUGUCCUUUAAUUGUAAAGACUCCUUUCCGCCCCUGCGGCGCGGGUAAAAAGGAGGUGUGACAGCUCUGGCGACUCUGCUGGGGAUAAUACCGCUGAACCACUGGUCCAGGGUUAGAAUAGUCGAACUCUUGGGAAUCUCCUAAAAACUUAGUGAGAAAUGUCAAUAGCAAGCUCGAGCUCAGAAAUUGUUGUAUUUUUUUGGCUUUAUAUUAUUAUCUGAUAUUUCCAUGUGAUAUAUGCUUAAUGUGCAAAUUGAUGAUUUUCUACCGCUUUGAUAUUAAUUGAACUGUAUAUAUAAACUGUGCCGAAACUCUUCUCUUCUCCCUCUUGAGGAGUGCGCGCUGGUCAUGACUUCUUUCUGUUAGUGUCAUAAUCCCAAUUUAGUACGAGGAUUCGGUGGGAUUGCAAAACCAGAGGAUCUUUUUGUUACCGACACGCAGUUCCCAUCCUUGGCUUGAGUUGUCCGCUCGGGUAAAAAGCCAGGUUUAGAACAACAACCUAGGUUGAAGCUUUUUAUCGGAGGAUCUUUUGGUUACCGGCACGCAAUUCCCAUCCUCGGCUCGAGUUGUCCACUCGGGUAAAAAGCUAGGUCUAGAACAAAAACCCAGGUUUAAACCUAGUAUAACAGAACUUCAUGCCGGAUCCCUAGUAGGAACGUUUGUUUGCAUCAUGUUCAUUUGACUUAGGGGGCUCAACACAGGGGUUGAGUCUGUCUAGGACAAGAAACCUGAAAUGAAAAGACCAUCCUGCUGCAUCCUAUUUGUUUUAUGCAUUUAUUUUCUUCAGACAUGCAUGCUGACCGGCUUUGAACAUAAGGAAAAUUUGAAAAAAUAAAUAAAUAAAAUAGCAGUGUAGAGUGUUAAUUACAUAUUUUUAGAAAAUUAAUUUCCAAAUAAUAUCGGAACUUUGCCGAAAUUUUGAAAAGAAAAAAUAGGAAAAAGAGCCUUUUAUUUUUUGGAAAAUUAUUUGUUGAAAAAGAAUUUGAAAAAGAGUCUUUAUUUUAGUUUGGAAAAAUAUGCUGUUUUAUUGUUUGGAAAAAAAAAGAAAAAAAAGGAAGAGUCGUUAUUUAGUCUUGCCAUAAAAAUGAAAAUGAAAAAUAUUCUUGUUUUUUAAAUAGUUUUUUUAUGAAAUGCUAAAAAUAAAAAUGAAAAAGAGUCUUAUUUAAAAAAAAUAGUAUUUGCUUUUGAAAUACAAAAAAAAUGAAAAUGAAAAAAACUGAGUUGUUUUAAAAAUAGUUCGUGUAAAUGGCGAACUACGCUGGUUUGAUUCUCACUGGAUGUGAGAUAUGUAGGCAACCCUCAUCGGGUCCAACCUCCCCUUUUGCUAAAAUAACCAAAAAAAAUGUCAAUUUUGAUUGUCAUCAUAAAUAAGUCGAGUGAUGCCGUUUUUGUUAAAAAUAGCCGAAUGUUCCCGAAAGGGACGCCGGAAGGCUGACUUUGUAUUAACGGCCACCUUUAAUCACUGUUUUAGGAUUUGGGCCGGUUAGCUAAUGCAACCUUAAAAUCUUCGUCCCCGUAAUGCUGCAAGGUCGUGUUUGCAAUACCAAGUCUUUUAUUUUAAUUUGAAAAAAAAGAGUCAGUGGGCAAGUGAGUGCCAUUUGGAUAUUGGUCAAAAUAAGCCGAGCCUGCUUCGGCAAUAUCUUAAAUCGUUCUUGCCAAGAUAGCCUUAGAAUAUCUUUCAAUUGUUGAAAGGCUAUUUUCGUAAAAGAACGAACAAGUUUGUGAAAUGUCAUAAAAUAAUCCUUUUCGGCCUCAAAAUUCAUGUGAAAUUGAGAAGGGUCCACGUCAACAAAAAUAGCCAUUUGGUUAAAAUGGGCAUAUAAGGGAAAAAAUAUGUCAGUUUGUUUUUUAUUUGUAUUUCUUUUAAUAAGAGUAUGUGGGUUGUUUGAUUGUCAAGUCUGUAAGUAUUCUUUUCGUCAGUCUGUUACUAUGGUCAGUUUUUUAAAACUAUGUAAUCAAGUUUGUUUUAUUGUAAAAAUUGAAAAUUCCAAACAAAAAAAAUGUUUUAUUGUUUUUUUACCUUGCAUUGGGUCCGAAUUACGCAAGGUUUGAUUCAUGCGGGGUCAUGAUACAUAGGCAAUCUCCAUAAGAUUCGACCACCACGAAAAAAAACAAAAAUUUAAAAAUGAAAAAGAUGUUGUGAAUAAUGAGGACCGACUAAUUCCAUUCUAACAUAUUUUGUUUUGAAUUUUGAGAAAGCUGGAAUGAUCGGUUUGUGGUAAGUUGGAAGCACAUGAUCAAGGAAAAUUUGAUUCAAGACAGUGACAUCCAGAAUAUCACGUUGAAUCCCUUAUAUAAUGAUGCACACUUUGUGUGGAUGAUGCCCGGUAACAUGGGGUAUGAGAAUGUACUAACUAAAUUUGAAGAUCUUGAAGCAGAUAGUGGUCUUGACAAUAUGGAUACGAAGCUCAAUGGCUAAAAAUGAAGUGCUUGUUAAUUUGAAAGACACUCCAUGUCUGGGUCAGCUGGAGGGAGUCUGGUGGUAGACCUUGAUCUGUCUUUCAUGUUUUCUGGAUUAUUCCAGGGUGUAAUCCAAAUUUUUGUUUUAUUUUUAGCAAAAGUGUGAACCGUGUUAUCCCCUGUUUUAUUAAAGUAAAAGUUUUUCUUGUUUUCGUUUAAAUUUGUUUCUUCUUCUUCUGUUGCUUUCUGAACAGUACUCUUUUUGCUGGUUCUAGUGACAAGGCAUACACGAUGGAUCCUCAACCCAGUCUAAAAAAAGGUCAAUCAAUCUGACUAUGAACUAAUAAUACAAGAAGUAGAUUGAUCAUAAUGAGUGGGUCAAAACCCGAAUGGAGCGGUAAAGGCGGCCAACUAUAAC
RNAcentral lists this long non-coding RNA (4161 nucleotides) under Nicotiana benthamiana. RNAcentral describes it as "long non-coding RNA (NBEN_LNC039372)". The record is from RNAcentral. Lineage: Eukaryota; Viridiplantae; Streptophyta; Magnoliopsida; Solanales; Solanaceae.